GACGAACCGUGCGAACGUUGUUCGGAAUCACUGGGCUUAAAGGGCGCGUAGGCGGCCGGGUUGGUCGUGGGUGAAAUCCCCCAGCUUAACUGGGGAAUUGCCUACGAUACUGCCUGGCUCGAGGGAGGAAGGGGCGGCCGGAACUGUCGGUGGAGCGGUGAAAUGCGUUGAGAUCGACAGGAACGCCGGUGGCAAAAGCGGGCCGCUGGCCCUCUUCUGACGCUGAUGCGCGAAAGCCAGGGGAGCGAACGGG
Molecule: ribosomal RNA, 253 nt
Filed under: uncultured bacterium
Lineage: Bacteria
Description: partial 16S ribosomal RNA
Rfam family: Bacterial small subunit ribosomal RNA
Source: RNAcentral